UACAGAGCACCUCUGCAAUGAUCAGUGUCCCCUGGCCUCUCUGGCUAAACGAUGGACUCUGGCUAAAUGAUGGACCCUCUGAGAGCCUUUGCAUCCCAAAUGGCACCUAUUUCCUACAGAAUGCACUACUUUUUACCAGGGCCCAUAGGAAAUAGAGUGCCAUUUGGAACUCAGAUUAAGACCUCGGUCCCCGACCAGCCAACCAACCCCCUGGAUAGUGGCUGUAUUAGUUUAUCCACCUUAUGAGCCUGGGCUCGGGGUCGGCAUUAAUUGGAUACUCAGGCUGUGGCCCAAAAGAAGACCAGGAGGAAAACAACCAGGCCUCUCCUCCUCUCAUCCCUUCUUUCCCUGGGACUUCAUUAAGACGAGGGUGAAGGGACAUCCUGGGGGAAAAGAAGGGACUCAGGCUUCAUGUAGAACACACACACACACUACGAUUGAACAUAUGCACACGCACACAAACAUAUACAUAUACAGUACAAACACUGACGUACUGCUGUGCAUGGACACGCACUGUACACACACACUACGCACACACACACACACACACACACACACACACACACACACACACACACACACACACACACACACUUCCACACAUAAACAGUGUGACCCAGUUGCACAGCCUGAGCAAACCUGUGGAGAGAGGAAGGAGAGAUGUUAAUUACACACAGAGGGUAUGUAUUCCUCUUCCUCAGUUCAGACCCCAGAAAUAUUAGAAAUUCAUUAACAGAAUCAAUAUGAAUUUUAAAUGAUAUGAUAUUCCUUACCGUACCGCGUAGUGUGUGUGUGUGUGUGUGCGUGCGUGCGUGCGUGCGUGCUCUGGUGGUAAAGGCGUGUUGUAUUUGCCCUAUGCGGAUGGAACUGCAGCCUUGUGUCUGUCUGUUUCUUUAGAGGAAUGUGUGUGUGUAGGCACAUGUUUAUGUUCGGUACUUUACUUAUAAAUUCAUCAUUGGCGAGGCUUUGCUUGUGAUUAAUUGUGACUUGUGUGUCUUUCCGUUUUAGUGCCAGUCUGACACGGACACUGCCGCCAUACAGGCGCCAAGCCUUGUAAUGAAGUUGAUUUGUUAAUGUUGCUGCCACACAGGAUGAAAGCCUGUCUAAUCAGGCCGCCCUGCCCACCCCACCAGUCACAUACUAUCUUCUCAGACGGGCAGCCUUAGUGGGACUGAUUGCAGUGUGUUACACCAUACAGUAGUUGUUGUGUACCUACUGAGUCAUCAAGUUCCCUGACGUCACGACAGGCCUGAUUACCAACAACGACGAGACGGCCUACAGGGAGGAGGUAGGCAUUCUGACAGUGUGGUGCCAGGUAAACAACCUCUCCCUCAACGCCAGUAAAACAAAGGAGCUGAUUGUGGACUUCAGGAAGGACCAAGCUGGGUACGCUCCAUCCUAAUCAAUGGGGCCACCGUGGAGACGGUCAAAAACACAUCUCCAAGUAGCUGAAAUGGUCAAACCACACAUACCCUGUGGUGAAGAAGGCAGGCCUGUCCCCCGAGGGCCCUCACAGUGUUCUACAGGAGCACCAUCGAGAGCAUACUGUCGGGCUGCCCCCCGAUUUUAUAUGUAUCAUUGUCAUAGUUGUAAACAUGUAUAUGUUGUUAUUAAAUAUUUAAAGUAUUUUUUAUUAUUA
Molecule: long non-coding RNA, 1639 nt
Organism: Coregonus clupeaformis (lake whitefish)
Lineage: Eukaryota; Metazoa; Chordata; Actinopteri; Salmoniformes; Salmonidae
Exons: 2
Source: RefSeq, a predicted model, not a curated record